This 426-nucleotide ribosomal RNA is filed under the name uncultured bacterium. RNAcentral's name for it is "bacterial SSU rRNA". It matches the Rfam family "Bacterial small subunit ribosomal RNA", at positions 356 to 773 of the family's 1533-position model. The record is from RNAcentral.
GGGGAAUAUUGGGCAAUAGGCGCAAGCCUGACCCAGCGACGCCGCGUGGGUGAUGAAGGCCUUCGGGUCGUAAAGCCCUGUCGGGUGGAAAGAACGAUGGGGGAGUGAAUAGCUCUUUCAUGUGACGGUACCACCGAAGGAAGCACCGGCCAAUUCCGUGCCCGCAGCCGCGGUAAGACGGAAGGUGCAAGCGUUGCGCGGAAUCACUGGGCGUAAAGGGUGCGUAGGCGGCCGCGCAAGUCUGGCGUGAAAGCCCCGGGCUCAGCCCGGGAAGGGCGCUCGAAACGGCGCGGCUGGAGUGCCGGAGGGGAGAGUGGAAUUCCUGGUGUAGCGGUGAAAUGCGUAGAUAUCAGGAGGAAUACCGGUGGCGAAAGCGACUCUCUGGACGGCAACUGACGCUGAGGCACGAAAGCGUGGGGAGCAAAC